CCGUUCAGCUCAGUUGGUAGAGCGCUCCUCUCGAAAGGAGAGGUCCCGGGUUCAACACCUGGACCAAGCGGA
Molecule: transfer RNA, 72 nt
Filed under: Ixodes scapularis (black-legged tick)
Lineage: Eukaryota; Metazoa; Arthropoda; Arachnida; Ixodida; Ixodidae
Description: tRNA-OTHER
Rfam family: tRNA (bases 7-62)
About the family: Transfer RNA (tRNA) molecules are approximately 80 nucleotides in length. Their secondary structure includes four short double-helical elements and three loops (D, anti-codon, and T loops). Further hydrogen bonds mediate the characteristic L-shaped molecular structure. tRNAs have two regions of fundamental functional importance: the anti-codon, which is responsible for specific mRNA codon recognition, and the 3' end, to which the tRNAs corresponding amino acid is attached (by aminoacyl-tRNA synthetases). tRNAs cope with the degeneracy of the genetic code in two manners: having more than one tRNA (with a specific anti-codon) for a particular amino acid; and 'wobble' base-pairing, i.e. permitting non-standard base-pairing at the 3rd anti-codon position.
Source: RNAcentral